GACGAACGCUGGCGGCGUGCUUAACACAUGCAAGUCGAACGGAAAGGCCCUGCUUUUGUGGGGUGCUCGAGUGGCGAACGGGUGAGUAACACGUGAGUAACCUGCCCUUGACUUUGGGAUAACUUCAGGAAACUGGGGCUAAUACCGGAUAGGAGCUCCUGCUGCAUGGUGGGGGUUGGAAAGUUUCGGCGGUUGGGGAUGGACUCGCGGCUUAUCAGCUUGUUGGUGGGGUAGUGGCUUACCAAGGCUUUGACGGGUAGCCGGCCUGAGAGGGUGAACGGCCACAAUGGGACUGAGGGACGCAGCAGUAGCCAACGGGAGGCAGCAGGGGGGAAUAUUACGCAGUGGGGGGAAGCCUGAUGAAGCAGCGCCGGGUGCGGAAUGACGGGCUUCGAGGUGUGAACAGCUUUCGACGGUGACGAAGCGUGAGUGACGGUAAUGGGUAAGGAAGCACCGGCUAACUACGUG
This 468-nucleotide ribosomal RNA is filed under the name uncultured bacterium. RNAcentral's name for it is "partial 16S ribosomal RNA". It matches the Rfam family "Bacterial small subunit ribosomal RNA", at positions 28 to 507 of the family's 1533-position model. The record is from RNAcentral.